Molecule: ribosomal RNA, 553 nt
Filed under: uncultured bacterium
Lineage: Bacteria
Description: bacterial SSU rRNA
Rfam family: Archaeal small subunit ribosomal RNA
Source: RNAcentral
AGUGAAUAGAUACCCAGGUAGUCCUAGCCGUAAACGAUACUCGCUAGGUGUCGGCCACGGUGCGACCGUUGUCGGUGCCGUAGGGAAAGCCGUGAAGCGAGCCACCUGGGAAGUACGGCCGCAAGGCUGAAACUUAAAGGAAUUGGCGGGGGAGCACCACAACGGGUGGAGCUUGCGGUUUAAAUUGGAUUCAACGCCGGAAAUCUUACCGGGACCGACAGCAAUAUGAAGGCCAGGCUGAAGACUUUGCCGGAUUAGCUGAGAGGUGGUGCAUGGCCGUCGUCAGUUCGUACUGUGAAGCAUCCUGUUAAGUCAGGCAACGAGCGAGACCCACGCCCACAGUUGCCAGCGUACUCUCUGGAGUGACGGGUACACUGUGGGGACCGCCGCUGCUAAAGCGGAGGAAGGAAUGGGCAACGGUAGGUCAGUAUGCCCCGAAUAUCCCGGGCUACACGCGAGCUACAAUGGUUGGUACAAUGGGUAUCUACCCCGAAAGGGACGGGAAUCUCCUAAAACCAAUCUUAGUUCGGAUUGAGGGCUGCAACUCGCCCUC